UUUCAUUCAAAGAAUUAAAGAACUACAAUUGCAAAUUUUUUACAUAACAGUAGCAUUUGGUUCCUUAUAAAGAGAUGAAUAAAUGAGCACACUCUUACUGCUGCAAAGCCAGGAAUUGGAAUGGCCAUUGCUGUCAAGAAGUGGAACGUAUCAGGGAAGGCUUUUGUAGGAACCACUCAAUAUUUUGCAGAAGGAAGUGUAGCAACGUCGUCGUCCAAUUCUGAUUAAACUUGCCGCUUACUGCAAUUAAGGUGACGAACUGCUUGUGGUGUACGAGUUCGUGCCAAAAGGAAAGCUUGGACAGUUAGGUGGCAUAGCUACUUAAUAUUACUUGAACAAUGCUUAAAUAUCUGUCCCCAUUGUCAUACCAGUCACUUGAGUAAUCCAUGAAAAUACUAUCUGUUCUUCUAAUAUUCUGGAAUCUUUUAUAGGAUCUCACUUCAUUCGUCAUCACAAUAUCUUGUACUCAAGUUUUUUCUACUGUUUGUAGUGUCAAUAAGCCUCUUGGGAAUUGCCGUUAAAGGAGGAAUUAUGCUACGUUGCUAAGGAUUUUUAUGAUGGAUUUACACUUGGUUGAAUUUCAUUGGCAGUUAGACAAAAAAAAAAAACUUCAAACCAGUCAAUCUAGUUUUGUCACUUCAUCAUCUGUUAAAAUUCUUGGCAAAAGCACUUGUACAGGUGGCUUGAUCAUCGAAGAAGUGUUUGACGGAGCACCUUUUACAUGUCAUGCCUAAAUGGACUCUGCUUAACGGGGCCUGUACAGAAUACUCACAAUGGAUGGAUGGGGGUGGGGGGAAAUUUUUAUUUUUUUUUUCCAAAAUAAUCACCCAUUCCCUCAAGCAUGUCAGGAUUUUGUACACGCCCUGUACAUCGGGCAAAAUUCCGCCUAAAUCUAGCUCUUGAGAGUACUUUCAGUAGAUCGGUGGACCAAAUCAUCAGUGAUGUGCUGCCUAUCCUUUUUGUGAUGCUGAGAUAAUAAAGUUCUCCUUCCACUACAAGCAUGGGGGUAAGGUCCAAAUCUGGCAGCAAGUAAAAAUGACUGAAAUCUGGAAAAUCAUUUUGAAAGCUUCACACAAGAAAGACCUCUAGCUUUAAGCUGGGUUUUCUGAACUUGCAAAACUCUGUUAUUAUACUGUUGACUAGAUUAGAGCAUCUCCAAUCCUUAUCGUGACUUGUACGAGUAAAAUAAACUGUUAAAAUUUCUCUCGUGUAGAAAAAAGUGGGAUUCUAUAAACUGUUAAAAUUUCUCUCGUGU
Molecule: long non-coding RNA, 1255 nt
Organism: Olea europaea var. sylvestris
Lineage: Eukaryota; Viridiplantae; Streptophyta; Magnoliopsida; Lamiales; Oleaceae
Exons: 2
Source: RefSeq, a predicted model, not a curated record